GGAGAGGUGGCCGAGUGGCUGAAGGCAACGGUUUGCUAAACCGUCGUAGGGGUGAACGCCUCUACCGCGGGUUCGAAUCCCGCCCUCUCCG
Molecule: transfer RNA, 91 nt
Filed under: Phycisphaerae bacterium
Lineage: Bacteria; Pseudomonadati; Planctomycetota; Phycisphaerae
Also listed under: 2 other names
Description: tRNA-Ser
Rfam family: tRNA
About the family: Transfer RNA (tRNA) molecules are approximately 80 nucleotides in length. Their secondary structure includes four short double-helical elements and three loops (D, anti-codon, and T loops). Further hydrogen bonds mediate the characteristic L-shaped molecular structure. tRNAs have two regions of fundamental functional importance: the anti-codon, which is responsible for specific mRNA codon recognition, and the 3' end, to which the tRNAs corresponding amino acid is attached (by aminoacyl-tRNA synthetases). tRNAs cope with the degeneracy of the genetic code in two manners: having more than one tRNA (with a specific anti-codon) for a particular amino acid; and 'wobble' base-pairing, i.e. permitting non-standard base-pairing at the 3rd anti-codon position.
Source: RNAcentral